CACCAAGCAGGUUGGACAUUUACCAGUAAAUGUUGAUCUUACAAGUGCAACACUACGCAUUGAGUAGUUGUGACAAAGCCUCUAAUAUAUCCGAUGCCACUCUUUGCAGUCAUUGAGAAAUUUGGUCUGCACCCUGACACUGAGGUCAUUUACAAAGAUUCCUCGAUAACAGAAGUGGACCCGGACAUCUUUUCCAAACUGUUGAAUAAAGGAGAGGAUUUGUUGAAGGUCUCUGUGAAUGAUGGAUCCUACCCUUCAGAUGCCUCCACAAUCGUGCUGAAUGAAAGACAGGGUGAGACCACAAGCAAGAAAAUAGGAAAAGAUGACCGAAGGAGCAAAGAAGCAGACAAAAAUAUGGUCACUGAAGUUUUUCAAACAAAGCCGAGGGGGAGAAAAUCUUUCAAAAAACAAAGUCACUGUCAGAUGGAACCAGACGACAGCUUGUGAAUAUGUUGGUUGCUGAUAUGGUGGAGGUGCAUGGACGGAGGCUGUACGAAUCAACUAUGCCCAAGGUAUUGUGGCCUUGUUCCCAUAUCUAGAGGACCCAUUGGUGAAGCAUGGAUAUGUACUUUUGUUCAUGUGGACUGCAGUUAAUAAAGCUUUGUCAAAACAAUUAACUGAAUGCUACCAGUUUUUUUUAUACUUUCCACAGGAACACUUCUAUGAUCCAGUGUCGGGUUCCGGGUACCUUUCUUGGCGUCUUAAGACUGGGCAACAAAGUUUAUUUGAUCAGUCUAGGUCUUGGUUGGCAGAUGAACAGUGCAAUGCUGGUCCAAAAGCUGUAAGAGGCUCAGCUAUUGCCGUAAAACAACUGACUGAUAAUGAGUGUGAAGAAGCAAUAG
This is a long non-coding RNA of Esox lucius (northern pike), 842 nucleotides long. NCBI's taxonomy places the organism in Eukaryota, Metazoa, Chordata, Actinopteri, Esociformes, Esocidae. The record is from Ensembl.